GUUAUUAUAGUGUAAAAAACACAUUACAUUUUCAUUGUAAAAUUAAACAUUCUUUUAAAAACU
This 63-nucleotide transfer RNA is filed under the name Globospongicola spinulatus. RNAcentral's name for it is "tRNA-Glu". The record is from RNAcentral. Lineage: Eukaryota; Metazoa; Arthropoda; Malacostraca; Decapoda; Spongicolidae.